This 3676-nucleotide ribosomal RNA is filed under the name Triticum aestivum (bread wheat). RNAcentral describes it as "partial small subunit ribosomal RNA". The record is from RNAcentral. Lineage: Eukaryota; Viridiplantae; Streptophyta; Magnoliopsida; Poales; Poaceae.
CACUCACUAGCUGAUAUUAAAUGGAGGUGUGCGUUUCCUUUUUCCUCCAACCCUUUCCUAGAUCCUAGAGAUCCCCUAUUCCCGCGAGGGAAGCUACUCCCGUAGCUAUUUUGGACCCCCGCUGGGCCCAAGCAGCGAAGGCCCUUCUCUCGCAGCGCCUCCCUAGAAUCCCGACCUCUCCUACCACUGCCGCGCCCCACCUAGCCGUUGACCCCGGCGGUGUCCACCACGACGCCUGAGUUUGCCGAAGGCGGCACCACUGGAACCGGCGUCCGCAGACGGCUCCUGUCCAUGGGCAGGGUCGACGCAGUUCCUCGACCCCGGCCUAUCUCGCGGUCAUAGGGCGAACCCUAGGUGCCGCCGCCAUGACCUCCUGGUCGCGACUCCUCGCGGCGCCGAUGACCUGUGUCCACUUCGCCUACAGGCCGACACGGUGCACUUCGGCGCUAACACGCGAUGCAGGACGGGUACACACACAAUGGCGCUGAAGGUGUUCCGAAGAGCAUGGUAUUUUUGUGGUUAAACAGGCAUCUGACGCAGGGAAGGGGAUGUGAGCGUUCGCUAACCAUGUACUCCCUCCGUCCUUUAAAGAGUCCUUUAAAGAGUGUACUUCCAACUUUGUUGGAGGGUUAGACUAUUUCAAAGUUUGACCGAGUUUAUAUAAAAAUAUGUCAAUUUUUAAGAAACCAAAUACGUAUAUGAUGAAAAUAUAUUUUAUCAUGAAUCUAAUGCUACUAAUUUGAUGACAUAAAUAUUUUUGUAUUAUUAUAUAAAGACGGUCAAACAUAAAAAAGUUUGACUUUCCAACAAAGUUGGGAGUACAGUAGUUUAUCUGAAGGGUAUAGAAGAGAUUUCCUGUUACCUGAACCUUUUAUCUGGAAUGCAUGGACUGCUAGAGGGCUGUAGCCUGUAGAUGCACUACAGAUUUGCAAAUUGUGAUGAUAUGAAAAUAGGGAUCACUCCCAUCACCUCAAGAACUGCACCUUCUAUCUUAACUGAAUUCAGUAUUGUUAAAAAAAACUGAAUUCAGUAUUAAUGGUUAAGCUGUGUACUAAUAUUCCUAUUAUUUAUUUAUUUGUGAUGCAGUUAAGCAGCUGCUUUCUUGUUUGCAUGAAAGACGAUAUCAUUGAGGGAAUUUAUGAUACUUUCUCGGAAUGUGCUUCCAUAAGCAAAUCUGUGUCAAUUCACAAUGUUUGAGCUACUGGCAGUUAAAUUCGAGGAACUAAUGGAAUUGUCGCCAUCCUACGUGUUUUCAGUGAUACUGCAUGCUGUGUCGAUCAAGGUGGAGGAAAGAGAAAAGGUAAGUAGCUUCAGUUGGUCGGACCCAAUUUACAUAUUCUUAAUGGUUCUAUCUUUUAGGUGCAUUUGCUAUAUAUUUGGAGCCUUGGCAUGCUGAUAUUUAUGAGUUCCUUGAUUUGAGAAAGAACCAUCGGAAGGUAAACAUUCUAGAAGUAAUACGUAACACACUUCCAGGCAGAGAUACCCGAAACUGACUACCAGUUUGGAUUUACUUUUUUCGCACUGGAUCACCACCCUCAUGCUAUUGAUCUCUUUGUUCAUUUAUCAGGAACAGUAAUUUGCAAUGAGAAAAGCAUUUUAAUUAAUCUGAAUCAAUUGUUUAUGUACAAUUAGUUGUUCAUUUUUUUUUAUUAUCUCUUGUAUUUUUAGUUGUUCAAGUGCUCCAUAUAUGCUUGCUCACUGUAUAUUGUAAGAGGGUGAUAACAAGAGUGGAUCUCUCAAGCUAAUUAGGCUUGAUGCUUCACACCCGCCGAUACAAUUUGUUUGGUUUGGUAAGGCCCUGAAGCAUUUUACAAACUACAGUUACAAAAUUAAUCUUGGCUUUGUUUUCUAUUCUUUUCGUAGCCAUCUUGUCAGAAUCAUUCAAACAAAAGCAAAAUCCUUUGGCCUACAAGGAAUAGUAAUUGAUAGAAUAUGCAUGGUUCAUGAAUCGUGAUAAGCGACACCUAUUAUCAACCAUUGCUGUUAAAUUUGAGCAUCAACCAAAAUAAGGUGACAUUGCCAAAGUGCAGAGUUUUUCCAAUUCCUCUUUAAUUACCUCUGGUCACGAACCAUUUGGUUUUGAAGUGCGAAAUAUUGCAUUGCGGAUAUCCCUUGUGUAACCGGAGAAUAUUUUGUCUUAUGAGUAGUUUUUUUAUUCCAAACCAUGCAAUUAGAGGAUUCAGAAUUCCUCUCUAGGGGGACCCUCGUUUAUGUCCGUGCUAUCAAUUCUCUUAAUAUUAACGUCUAAGAGAACUUCUCUUGCCGGAAGGGGCAGAGCAAGGAAUUUUAUUAAUGGGGGCCAAUGAAACAUGUAAAGCAUCAAAGGGGCCAUACAUAAGAAUUUAGACAUCAAAUGCAUUAACUCACAUAGCAUUUUGGGGUAACUUGAGAAACUUUUGUAGUGUGGGGGGAGCCAUGGCCCCAGCUCUCCCUUGUUGACUCCGUCCCUGUUGCUAGCCCAAGUCGCAAUUCAUUGUGCUUUAUUUAUCAUGUGAUGUGUAAUGUGAUUACGGUGUCACUGGGCGGUCUGCCUUUUCGUGCAGUUAGCGUGUGUGUGGUCGAAGCGUUGUACACGCUAUUCAAGAAAUCAGUAAUGUUGCGGUACAUGCCGGGCAAGGUUAGUGGAUAAACACCCAUCUCCUUAUUAAAGUAAAAAACAUACGGUGUUGUUCUCUCAGGUGCAUGUUGUGUAUAUGAUGGGUAACGAAUAACAUGAGUUGUGAUGCUUGUAUGUUGACAUGGUGCAGGAGUUUCAGCUGGCACUUUGGUAAGACCGAGAGUUUAUUUGUUGAUCGUGUAAGUCCACAUUGCACGUGUGCACACAUUUGCACUUUAUAUUGUACAAUGAAAAUGUCUCUCUUGUUUUUGCUUCUUUUUUUGUAUUCUAAUGUAAUUACUAUGGAAUCAGUCUCACUCUCAUUUUUGGCAUAUUACUUGGACUUUGGAGAUAAACAACAUACUGCUUAACAUUCUUUAGGGAUCAUAACCGAUCUAUGGCAAAGACAUUUGCCUAAUUGUAGAAUCAUGCAGAUCACUGAUACUAGAAGGGCUUUGAGGCCACGAUUAAGUUGGAAUUUGGUUUUACUUUCUGCGUUAUAUUUCCCAUUUUCAUUACAGGAUUUCACUCCUAUUAUGCCUAUUUUUUAGCAUGGCCUUUUAUGUACUACAUUUCAUGUAGUAAAUAAUGUUUCUGGCCAAAACAUCACCCCUGCAGACAUCUAAUUAGAAGCUUGGAGCAUAGAAAUAAGACUCGCCCUUGAAUAACUUGGUAGGUGUCAACUUGUUUGGAAGCUACCUUCAUGCAUACAAUAAAGAUGAGGCACUCUGGUUUUUUCUUAUCGAGUUGGCGUCAAUGCACGAUUAAGGUGGGGAUGAUGCCUGUAGUAGAACAUGUUGCUGAAGAAUUGUACGCGGAGCUUCUUAAAUGUGUAGUGUUGUGACUCGGGGAAGUUUUAGUAGGACCUAUGCUAAUUUGUAGUCAAAUUGCUUUUAUAUUUUGUGAUAAUGUUUUAUUAUAGCUAGCACCAAACAAUUAUAGUGUUUAUUAAGCGAUUUCCUUCUGAUUUUGUUGUUUUUGAAGAUUAGUACGUUCAACCUGAUGCCGGUUAGGACACAGACUAUUAUGAUGCAUCGCGUAUUGGAUUGAGAAACCUGUGCCAUGUUGACCAUAUCUCCC